UACGUAGGUGGCAAGCGUUGUCCGGAUUUACUGGGUGUAAAGGGCGUGCAGCCGGAGAGACAAGUCAGAUGUGAAAUCCACGGGCUCAACCCGUGAACUGCAUUUGAAACUGUUUCCCUUGAGUGUCGGAGAGGUAAUCGGAAUUCCUUGUGUAGCGGUGAAAUGCGUAGAUAUAAGGAAGAACACCAGUGGCGAGGGCGGAUUACUGGACGAUAACUGACGGUGAGGCGCGAAAGCGUGGGGAGCGAACAGG
Molecule: ribosomal RNA, 253 nt
Filed under: uncultured bacterium
Lineage: Bacteria
Description: partial 16S ribosomal RNA
Rfam family: Bacterial small subunit ribosomal RNA
Source: RNAcentral